Molecule: ribosomal RNA, 599 nt
Filed under: Bradyrhizobium sp. MPSR052
Lineage: Bacteria; Pseudomonadati; Pseudomonadota; Alphaproteobacteria; Hyphomicrobiales; Nitrobacteraceae
Description: bacterial SSU rRNA
Rfam family: Bacterial small subunit ribosomal RNA
Source: RNAcentral
GGGCUCCANGUUGCGGUUUUAACUUGCAAGUCGACGGCACGCAAGGGGAUGGCUGACGGGUGAGUAACGCGUGGGAAAAAACCUUUCCUGCUGUGAGCUCCGGGAGGUGGAAUUACUAUCGCAUACGCCCUACGGGGGAAAGAUUUAUCGGGGAAGGAUUGGCCCGCGUUGGAUUAUCUAGUUGGGGGGGUAAAGGCCUACCAAGGCGACUAUCCAUAGCUGGUCUGAGAGGAUGAUCAGCCACAUUGGGACUGANACACGGCCCAAACUCCUACNGGAGGCACCNAUGGGGAAUAUUGGACAAUGGGCGCANGCCUGAUCCAGCCAUGCCGCGUGAGUGAUGAAGGCCUUAGGGUUGUAAAGCUCUUUCACCGAUGAAGAUAAUGACGGUAGUCGGAGAAUAAGCCCCGGCUAACUUCGUGCCAGCAGCCGCGGUAAUACGAAGGGGGCUAGCGUUGUUCGGAAUUACUGGGCGUAAAGCGCACGUAGGCGGAUAUUUAAGUCNGGGGUGAAAUCCCGCAGCUCAACUGCGGAACUGCCUUUGAUACUGGGUAUCUUGAGUAUGGAAGAGGUAAGUGGAAUUCCUGGUGUAUCGGUGG